RNAcentral lists this long non-coding RNA (1651 nucleotides) under Macaca fascicularis (crab-eating macaque). RNAcentral's name for it is "lncRNA (ENSMFAG00000059807.1)". Lineage: Eukaryota; Metazoa; Chordata; Mammalia; Primates; Cercopithecidae. The record is from RNAcentral.
UUUUUUUUUUUUUUAGUAGAGAUGGGGUUUCACCAUGUUGGCCAGGCUGGUCUUGAGCUCCUGACCUCAAAUGAUCCACCCACCUUGGCCUCCCAAAGUGCUGGGAUUACAGGUGCCUGGCCAAGUAAAUGUUUCUUACCAGAUUUAAAGAAUCUGUUCUAUCAGUAAUUCCAAAAGAAAGGAGGGUAUAAUGAGGCACGUCCCGCUCCCCCAUCCCAUCCUGGCCCGAACUAGUUUUUCAGGUAAACUUGGGAAUGUCCAUGCCAAGAGGAGGGGUCCAUUCGGAUGGUUGGGAAGCUUAGAAUUUUACUUUUGGCUUACAAACAUGAGACGGUUGCUGUAGACUGUGGGCGGUGAGCAUGUCAGGACUUUCCCUCCUCCUAUCCGGUGACACCUUGGCCCACACCAACCCAGAGCAACAAGACCCACUGCCCCUGCUACCUGGGGCCCGCACGUCAUGUCUGAGCAAUGAGCCCAUCCUCGCUGCCUGCUGCCCAGCUGGCGGACCCUGCCCCGUGCUGUUCCUACUACUGCUAUGGCCACUCCCCAGCCACCACACCCACAGCAACUCCAUGCCAGUAGCUCCUCCCCACCCAAGGCUUCUCCCUGCCCACAGCUCCUCCCUACCUGUGACUCCUCCUCUCCAGCAGUUCCUCCCUGUGACCCCUGCACUUGGAGCUUUCCCUCCACUCCCCCGUACCUGCCUCAGGCCUCAGUCUGCUUCCUUUCCUUUCCCUAAGCUCACUUGGAGUCCUAGCUCGCCCAUGGCACCCACACUUCCAAGACUCCAGCACUUGGGAGGUUCCUGCCACUACCAUCACCGUCACUGCUGCUACUGAAACACCAGGGGUUGAGUCUAGAUCCUGCUGUUCGCUGCUCAGAAAGCCAAUGUCUGAGACAAGCAUUGCCAAGAAAGAAAGCUUUAAUUGGGUGCUGCAGCCAAGGAGAUGGGAGAUCCAUCUCAAAAUAUCUCCUCGACUGACUAAAACUAAGGGUUUACAUAGCAGGGAAAAAUGGACUAUGUAUGGGAAACAGGAACUCGGGAGGGAUAAAGAAGCAAUCAUGAUGAACCAGAGGUUUGGUGUCUGAUUGUUUGCAUACAGCAGUCUGAUCAGUUUCAGUCCUUUGAUACCUUCUGAGAGGCCUAGGGGUCCUUUCUUGAGGAAGGAAUUCAGAUAAAACAAAUACAAGUUUCAAGAUUUAUGAUCAGAGGGUCAAUUUCCAUGUUUACACAAAAAAUAAAAACAAAAAUAAAACAAAUACGAAAACAAACAAACAAAAAAACCUGUCUGUGGGACUCUUGGUCGGUUUCAGUCCCACUUUUCUACUGAUCAAUUCCUCAACCCUGGGGAAUCUGGCUGUCGAUCUUUCUGGCUGCUUCAUGCUGAGGAGCGGCAUUGUGGGCAGCUCCAUACCAGGGGUGACCAUGUGGCCACCCAGAAAUCAAAGGUUAACUUAAUACAGGGUUUUCUUCUGAAACACAAUCUUUCUCUCUCCAGGCCUCACUUCCACCAAAGACAAGUAACAGCAGGAACAACCUACAGGCAAAAGAAACUUCAGUCCCGUACAGGUGGCCUGGUUACCCACACAAAGCACAGCAAGAAUCCUUGUGCACAUAGGCUCUCCUAGAUUGGACUGACUGGAACCUCUC